Molecule: ribosomal RNA, 473 nt
Filed under: uncultured organism
Description: partial 16S ribosomal RNA
Rfam family: Bacterial small subunit ribosomal RNA
Source: RNAcentral
ACACUCCUACGGGAGGCAGCAGUAGGGAAUCUUCCACAAUGGGUGCAAACCUGAUGGAGCAAUGCCGCGUGAGUGAAGAAGGUCUUCGGAUCGUAAAGCUCUGUUGUUAGAGAAGAACACGUGCUAGGUAACUACUAGCGCCUUGACGGUAUCUAACCAGAAAGUCACGGCUAACUACGUGCCAGCAGCCGCGGUAAUACGUAGGUGACAAGCGUUGUCCGGAUUUAUUGGGCGUAAAGGGAGCGCAGGCGGUCUGUUUAGUCUAAUGUGAAAGCCCACGGCUUAACCGUGGAACGGCAUUGGAAACUGACAGACUUGAAUGUAGAAGAGGAAAAUGGAAUUCCAAGUGUAGCGGUGGAAUGCGUAGAUAUUUGGAGGAACACCAGUGGCGAAGGCGAUUUUCUGGUCUAACAUUGACGCUGAGGCUCGAAAGCGUGGGGAGCGAACAGGAUUAGAAACCCCAGUAGUCCCAU